RNAcentral lists this transfer-messenger RNA (356 nucleotides) under Planctomycetaceae. Its description in RNAcentral is "MB-PLM-1 sp003388505 Standard tmRNA". It matches the Rfam family "transfer-messenger RNA". From Rfam's summary of the family: Bacterial tmRNA, also known as 10Sa RNA or SsrA, is named for its dual tRNA and mRNA-like properties. Its role is to liberate the mRNA from a stalled ribosome. The record is from RNAcentral. Lineage: Bacteria; Pseudomonadati; Planctomycetota; Planctomycetia; Planctomycetales. RNAcentral also lists the same sequence under 1 other name.
GGGGGCGAUCGGCUUCGACUGGUUCUCCGCGGGUGUGGGUCGCGUGCCGUGGUUGAUCAGCCGGCCACGUAAAAAGCUGAUCACACAAUAACUGCCAACAAGCAGUACGCUCUGGUUGCUUAAAUAAGUGACCCCGGCCUAGGAAUCCCUGCCUGAGGAGUCCAAACGCCGGUCACAAAAUCAGGCUGGCUGCCGGUCAACGGACACUACGCCGGCAGCGAGACAAGUCGUGACCUGGCUGCGUAAGGCCCUGUCGGCCGUGCCGAUCGCAGCGAGACCCAAACGACCGUCUACGCACGUAGAAGCCCCAUCUCAGGGUUCACAGGACGCGGGUUCGAUUCCCGCCGCCUCCACUC